This 325-nucleotide ribosomal RNA is filed under the name uncultured Cenococcum. RNAcentral describes it as "eukaryotic LSU rRNA". It matches the Rfam family "Eukaryotic large subunit ribosomal RNA", at positions 1 to 327 of the family's 3401-position model. Lineage: Eukaryota; Fungi; Ascomycota; Dothideomycetes; Gloniales; Gloniaceae. The record is from RNAcentral.
UUGACCUCGGAUCAGGCAGGGAUACCCGCUGAACUUAAGCAUAUCAAUAAGCGGAGGAAAAGAAACCAACAGGGAUUGCCUCAGUAACGGCGAGUGAAGCGGCAACAGCUCAAAUUUGAAAUCUGGCUCUUUUAGGGUCCGAGUUGUAAUUUGUAGAGGAUGCUUCGGCGUCGGCUCCGGUCUAAGUUCCUUGGAACAGGACGUCAUAGAGGGUGAGAAUCCCGUAUGUGAUCGGUUGCCUUGCCAUGUGAAGCUCCUUCGACGAGUCGAGUUGUUGGGAAUGCAGCUCUAAAUGGAGGUAAAUUUCUUCUAAGCUAAUACUGGC